Molecule: transfer RNA, 83 nt
Filed under: Nanobdellota archaeon
Lineage: Archaea; Nanobdellati; Nanobdellota
Description: tRNA-Ser
Rfam family: tRNA
About the family: Transfer RNA (tRNA) molecules are approximately 80 nucleotides in length. Their secondary structure includes four short double-helical elements and three loops (D, anti-codon, and T loops).
Source: RNAcentral
GCUGAGGUGGCAGAGCGGUUAAUGCGCGGGCCUUGAGAGCCCGUUCCCGUCAGGGAGCAAGGGUUCGAAUCCCUUUCUCAGCG